This 254-nucleotide ribosomal RNA is filed under the name uncultured bacterium. Its description in RNAcentral is "partial 16S ribosomal RNA". It matches the Rfam family "Bacterial small subunit ribosomal RNA", at positions 524 to 776 of the family's 1533-position model. The record is from RNAcentral.
GACGUAGGGCGCGAGCGUUGUCCGGAUUUAUUGGGCGUAAAGAGCUCGUAGGCGGUCUGUCGCGUCGGUCGUGAAAACUUGGGGCUUAACCCUGAGCUUGCGGUCGAUACGGGCAUGACUGGAGUUCGGUAGGGGAGACUGGAAUUCCUGGUGUAGCGGUGAAAUGCGCAGAUAUCAGGAGGAACACCGGUGGCGAAGGCGGGUCUCUGGGCCGAUACUGACGCUGAGGCACGAAAGCCAGGGGAGCAAACGGG